ACCGCUCAAAAGCCAUUCUGUUUAGCCUUUGAAUGGAUGGAUACUACCUACGCUCAUGUGAAACUCUUUCGACGAGUCGAGUUGUUUGGGAAUGCAGCUCAAAAUGGGUGGUAUAUUUCAUCUAAAGCUAAAUAUUGGCCAGAGACCGAUAGCGCACAAGUAGAGUGAUCGAAAGAUGAAAAGCACUUUGGAAAGAGAGUUAAACAGUACGUGAAAUUGUUGAAAGGGAAGCGCUUGCAAUCAGACUUGCACUUGGUGUUCAUCAGGGCUUCGUGCCCUGUGUACUUCAUCAAGUUCAGGCCAGCAUCAGUUUGAGUGGUUAGAUAAAGGCCUUGAGAAUGUGGCCCUCUUCGGGGGGUGUUAUAGCUCUCGGUGCAAUGUAGCCUACUUGGACUGAGGACACGACUCUGGCGGAGGUGCCUUUCGGGGAACACAUGAAAGAUCCUGUAUUAGUCGCAGAUAUUGUCAAGGUAUGCUUGUAAGCAUUUGUCGAGCUAGAAAAAGAG
Molecule: non-coding RNA, 506 nt
Filed under: Sclerotinia borealis F-4128
Lineage: Eukaryota; Fungi; Ascomycota; Leotiomycetes; Helotiales; Sclerotiniaceae
Description: Eukaryotic large subunit ribosomal RNA
Rfam family: Eukaryotic large subunit ribosomal RNA
Source: Rfam by way of RNAcentral